Long non-coding RNA from Oncorhynchus keta (chum salmon), 1091 nucleotides. RefSeq lists it as uncharacterized. The record is from RefSeq and is a predicted model, not a curated record. The transcript is spliced from 3 exons. NCBI's taxonomy places the organism in Eukaryota, Metazoa, Chordata, Actinopteri, Salmoniformes, Salmonidae.
GUAUAUCCAGGGGUCAGGAGUAGAGUAGGGUUAUUUUAGUUGGUAUAUAAUCUAAUGAUUAUUUUAAACCUGUUCACCAUCAAACCAAUCCAGAGGGUACAAGGGUGGAAAAACCAUGUUUAAGGCCGGAUUUGGGAGGAUCCCUAUGAGUGUAAGGGAUAAAAAGGUCAAUGGCUUGCUGCGUCCAUACCCAACACCCAGCAACGCAGCGGUGACUCGCCAAGUGUUUGGUUUCUAGUUUUGAGUCGGUUGAUCCACUUCCAUCUCUGACACGUGGAAACCGGAGGGGGGAAGGGAGGGGUUGCACUCCACAUCAUAUACGCGCGGGUCGGAGGGUACGGGCGCGGCCGGCCAAAGUCGUAGGCCCCAUGGUAGCCCACUUGUAGAUUAACCCGUUGGUUGGGUUAAAGGACUGUCUGUCUGUGGGGUUAGGGUUAGGUAUAGUUUUUAGAAUGGUUAAGGUUAGGGUUUAGGGUUAGGGUAAGAUAUGGUUAAGAAGGGUUAAGGUAAGGGUUAAGUUUAGGUAUGGGUUUUGGGAUGGUUAAGGUUAGGGUUAGGGUUAGGGUAAGGUAUAGAAAAGGUUAAGUUUAGGUAUGGGUUUUGGGAUGGUUAAGGUUAGGGUUAGGGUUAGGGUUAGGGUAAGGUAUAGAAAAGGUUAAGUUUAGGUAGGUCUGUCAACUCAACUUAGGAUCAGGCAAAGCCCUUGAGUUGCGUCCCUUAUGCAGGUCCGGUCCUCGGUUGGUUGCCAUGUGUCCAUGUCGAGUGGUAUGAUCAUGAUGUCCAGGUCCGCUAUGUCAACGGAGGUGGAAAGCAUAGUGCAACCUAGGAGUUUUACUCCCUUACGGAUCCUUCUUCUUUAGCUCCAUGUUGUCUAUGUAUCCACUUCAGUGUUCGUCAGUCUUUGGUCCUGGAUGUUAUUCCCUUCCAGGAUCCUAAUUCCAAAUCAACCCAUGUCUAGUCGAAUCCAGCUGGUCUGUAUGGGUAUACUCGGCGUAGGAUCAGGCAAAACCAUCGAGUUGCGUACCUUGUGCAGGUCCGGACCUCAGUCGGUUGCCAUGUGUCCCUGUCAAGUGGUCAGUCUAUAACAGCCA